GGCGGCAUGGACAAGUGGUAAGGCUCGGGACUGCAAAUCCUUUACCCCCAGUUCAAAUUUGGGUGCCGCCU
RNAcentral lists this transfer RNA (71 nucleotides) under Zea mays. It matches the Rfam family "tRNA". Rfam says of the family: Transfer RNA (tRNA) molecules are approximately 80 nucleotides in length. Their secondary structure includes four short double-helical elements and three loops (D, anti-codon, and T loops). Lineage: Eukaryota; Viridiplantae; Streptophyta; Magnoliopsida; Poales; Poaceae. The record is from Rfam by way of RNAcentral.